RNAcentral lists this ribosomal RNA (427 nucleotides) under uncultured bacterium. RNAcentral's name for it is "bacterial SSU rRNA". It matches the Rfam family "Bacterial small subunit ribosomal RNA", at positions 355 to 774 of the family's 1533-position model. The record is from RNAcentral.
UGGGGAAUUUUGGACAAUGGGCGCAAGCCUGAUCCAGCAAUGCCGCGUGCAGGAUGAAGGCCUUCGGGUUGUAAACUGCUUUUGUACGGAGCGAAAAGGUCUGCCCUAAUACGGUGGGCUCAUGACGGUACCGUAAGAAUAAGCACCGGCUAACUACGUGCCAGCAGCCGCGGCAAUACGUAGGGUGCGAGCGUUAAUCGGAAUUACUGGGCGUAAAGCGUGCGCAGGCGGUUAUGCAAGACAGAGGUGAAAUCCCCGGGCUCAACCUGGGAACUGCCUUUGUGACUGCAUAGCUAGAGUACGGCAGAGGGGGAUGGAAUUCCGCGUGUAGCAGUGAAAUGCGUAGAUAUGCGGAGGAACACCGAUGGCGAAGGCAAUCCCCUGGACCUGUACUGACGCUCGUGCACGAAAGCGUGGGGAGCAAACA